GGGACCAUCCUCCAAGGCUAAAUACUCCUGACUGACCGAUAGUGAACCAGUACCGUGAGGGAAAGGCGAAAAGAACCCCGGCGAGGGGAGUGAAAAAGAACCUGAAACCGUGAACGUACAAGCAGUGGGAGCAUGCUUAGGCGUGUGACUGCGUACCUUUUGUAUAAUGGGUCAGCGACUUAUAUUCUGUAGCAAGGUUAACCGAAUAGGGGAGCCGAAGGGAAACCGAGUCUUAACUGGGCGUUAAGUUGCAGGGUAUAGACC
RNAcentral lists this ribosomal RNA (264 nucleotides) under Nocardioides malaquae. RNAcentral describes it as "partial 23S ribosomal RNA". It matches the Rfam family "Bacterial large subunit ribosomal RNA", at positions 449 to 715 of the family's 2925-position model. The record is from RNAcentral. Lineage: Bacteria; Bacillati; Actinomycetota; Actinomycetes; Propionibacteriales; Nocardioidaceae.